GACGAACGCUGGCGGCGUGCCUAACACAUGCAAGUCGAGCGAACGGACCAGACGCUUGCUUCUCUGAUGUUAGCGGCGGACGGGUGAGUCACACGUGUAUAACCUACCUAUAAGACUGGGAUAACUUCGGGAAACCGGCGCUUAUCCCGUAUGAUAUUUUGAACCACGUUGUUCAAUAGUGAGAUACGGUCUUUCGGUCACUUCUAGCUGGUUCCGCGCUUCAUUUGCUAGUUGUUAAGGUAAUGGCUUACCAAGGCGAGGAUGCGUAGCCGACCGGAUAGGGUGAUAGGCCACACGGGAAGGGAGACGGGGUCCAGACUCCUAAGGGAGGCAGCAGUAGGGAAUCUUCCGCAAUGGGCGAGAGCCUGACGGAGCAAAGCCGCGUGAGUGAUGAAGGUGUCCGGAGCGGAAAACUCUGUUAUGAGGGAAGAACAGAUGUGUAAGUAACUGUGCAGAUAUUGACGGUACCAAAUCAGAAAGCCACGGCUAACUACGUG
RNAcentral lists this ribosomal RNA (497 nucleotides) under uncultured bacterium. RNAcentral describes it as "partial 16S ribosomal RNA". It matches the Rfam family "Bacterial small subunit ribosomal RNA", at positions 28 to 507 of the family's 1533-position model. The record is from RNAcentral.